Molecule: transfer RNA, 74 nt
Filed under: Alosa alosa (allis shad)
Lineage: Eukaryota; Metazoa; Chordata; Actinopteri; Clupeiformes; Clupeidae
Description: tRNA-OTHER
Source: RNAcentral
GCAGCCGUGGCCUACUGGUUAGUGCUUCAGACUUGGAAUCAGAGGGUUGCCUGUUCGAACCAUGACCAGUAGGA